UACGGAGGGUGCAAGCGUUGUUCGGAAUUAUUGGGCGUAAAGCGCGCGCAGGCGGGUGGCUAAGUCUGAUGUGAAAUCCCUCGGCUCAACCGAGGACGUGCAUUGGAUACUGGCGAUCUUGAGUCCUGGAGAGGGGAGCGGAAUUCCCAGUGUAGAGGUGAAAUUCGUAGAUAUUGGGAGGAACACCAGUGGCGAAGGCGGCUUCCUGGACAGUGACUGACGCUGAGGCGCGAAAGCGUGGGUAGCAAACAGG
RNAcentral lists this ribosomal RNA (253 nucleotides) under uncultured bacterium. RNAcentral describes it as "partial 16S ribosomal RNA". It matches the Rfam family "Bacterial small subunit ribosomal RNA", at positions 524 to 776 of the family's 1533-position model. The record is from RNAcentral.